UAAAAUGGAGAUAAUUUAUUAUCUUGACCCAUUGGCGAAAGACAUUAAUAUGAGGCAAGAUUUGAAGAAGUUGUUUGACAUGGUUAUACAAACCUACCGAGCUCAAAGAGGGUCUAUGGUUUCAAAGUCUAAGUUAAGCAAUAUCAAAUGGACACCAAUUAAGUGUCCAAAACAAUCCAACGGCCAUGAUUGUGGGUAUUACAUUUGUCGAUAUAUGAAGGAAAUUGUCACAUAUU
This is a long non-coding RNA of Vigna unguiculata (cowpea), 236 nucleotides long. NCBI's taxonomy places the organism in Eukaryota, Viridiplantae, Streptophyta, Magnoliopsida, Fabales, Fabaceae. The record is from RefSeq and is a predicted model, not a curated record.